RNAcentral lists this ribosomal RNA (112 nucleotides) under Caerostris darwini. The record is from RNAcentral. Lineage: Eukaryota; Metazoa; Arthropoda; Arachnida; Araneae; Araneidae.
AACGGCCGUACCAUGCUGAAUAUACCGGUUCUCGUUAGAUCACCGAAGUCAAGCAUCAUUGGGCCCGGUCAGUACUUGGGUGGGUGACCACCUGGGAACACCGCGUGCCGUU